AUUGAACGCUGGCGGCAGGCCUAACACAUGCAAGUCGAACGAGUGGCGGACGGGUGAGUAAUGUCUGGGAAAUUGCCUGAUGGAGGGGGAUAACUACGGGAAACGGUAGCUAAUACCGACUACCUUCGUAUGGGCCCAGAUGGGAUGAGCUAGUGGGUGGGGUAAAGGGUCACCUGGGCGCCGAUCCCUAGCUGGUCUGAGAGGAUGACCAGCCACACUGGAACUGAGACACGGGCCAGACGCCUACGGGAGGCAGCAGUGGGGAAUAUUGCACAAUGGGCGCAAGCCGGAUGCAGCCAUGGCGGGUGUAUGAAGAAGGCCUUCGGGUUGUAAAGUUCUUUCAGCGGGGAGGCGUUACCCGCAGAAGAAGCGCCGGCUAACUCCGUGCCAGCAGCCGCGGUAAUAC
RNAcentral lists this ribosomal RNA (406 nucleotides) under uncultured bacterium. RNAcentral's name for it is "partial 16S ribosomal RNA". It matches the Rfam family "Bacterial small subunit ribosomal RNA", at positions 29 to 526 of the family's 1533-position model. The record is from RNAcentral.